This 440-nucleotide ribosomal RNA is filed under the name uncultured bacterium. RNAcentral describes it as "bacterial SSU rRNA". It matches the Rfam family "Bacterial small subunit ribosomal RNA", at positions 954 to 1392 of the family's 1533-position model. The record is from RNAcentral.
GCAUAACGCGAAGAACCUUACCAAGGCUUGACAUCCCCUUGACCGGCACAGAGAUGUGCCCUCUCCUUCGGGAGCAAGGGUGACAGGUGGUGCAUGGUUGUCGUCAGCUCGUGUCGUGAGAUGUUGGGUUAAGUCCCGCAACGAGCGCAACCCUUAUCCUUAGUUGCCAGCAUUAAUGGUGGGCACUCUAAGAAGACUGCCGAUGAUAAAUCGGAGGAAGGUGGGGAUGACGUCAAAUCAUUAUGCCCCUUAUGUCUUGGGCUACACACGUGCUACAAUGGUCGGUACAACGGGCAGCGAAGGAGCGAUCCGGAGCGAAUCCCAAUAAACCGAUCCCAGUUCGGAUUGUAGGCUGCAACUCGCCUACAUGAAGUCGGAGUUGCUAGUAAUCGCGAAUCAGAACGUCGCGGUGAAUGCGUUCCCGGGUCUUGUACACACCG